Long non-coding RNA from Acinonyx jubatus (cheetah), 9767 nucleotides. RefSeq lists it as uncharacterized. Lineage: Eukaryota; Metazoa; Chordata; Mammalia; Carnivora; Felidae. The transcript has 3 exons. The record is from RefSeq and is a predicted model, not a curated record.
AGCCUGGCUCUGUGUUCCUGCACCAGCUUUCUCCAAGUGGCACAGCAGGGCACGAUGGACUCUCGUGUCCUCCGUCACGUGGCCAAGACCACUCAAAGCCAGGUCCUUCUUGAUUUGCCCCGACUGGGUAUGACCUUUCUCUUCUGAACCUUCUGUCUGUAUUCGUUCCUCUUUAAUGGAACCAGUUUCUUCCUGUCAAGGCUGGCUACAUAUUUCUCAGGACCCAGUACUCAAAGAUUGGGCCUUGUUCAACAGCAGCCAGAAAGCACCAUUAAAGCAGACUGCACUUCCAGAACACCAGAGGAAAGAGAAAACGAUUUCAAAAUGCUGCCAGCGGAGCAUGAAGCCAGCCUGGGCUCUUCAGAGCAUGAGCCCCAAGUGGCACCGCAGAUUGCACACCCAGGACGCAGCCUCCUCCCUGCUUUGUUUUCCUGUUGCUUGAGACACGGCUUCCCUCUGCCCCCAGACUGCGAGCUCAUUCAGGAAGGAGCCUGAGCCUCUCCGGUGUCUUACAUAAGCCCAAACAGCCCAAGACAACGUUCAAGCCAGAUUUCAGCCCUUCUUCAACAACCGCUUUAAAAAGCAGGGGUGGCUAAGUUAUAAUGGCCCACGUUUCUCUUUGGGGGAUACGGGAGUCCAUGUGAAAAGCCAUGAUUUUCAGAUUCCACACAUGAGAGGGAAACAUCCUCCCUUUCAGCAGAGGGGAGCGCUGUUCUCGAAAGCACAUUCGUACAAGUGGACGACCCAGAGCCACUGGACCUGAAGUAUCCCAAUGUCUCUGGCGGGAAUUCAUUCAUUUAUCCCUUUACUCCACAAAUGAGUAUGUAGUCAGUGCCUACUAUGUGUACCGGGGCACAUGAGUGUAGAAAACGGGCUCACAGAGCAUUUUCCAGGGAAGGGACAGACAACAGACAAAACACUUAAGUACGAAGAGAAGACAGUGUGAAGAAACCUGGAACAGAGGGGCUGGGACGCUGGGGGCGCAAGGUGCACGUCUCAGUCGCUGAUUGGAGAAGCCCUCUCAUAAAGACGGCGUUUGAGCAAGGGCUUGAACGAGGUGGGGUGAGCCCCGGCGCUGCUCAGGGGGAGAACGUUCCAGGCACACGUCGAUGCUCACACAGUGUCCGGUGGGUGUUAUCGGGCCUCCUGGAAAGGGAGGCCAGGUGGGCUUCCAACCAAUGCGCUGCUGGCUUCCAGGUUCCCGCCACCCCUUGUCACGACACUAACCUUGCCUGACUCGGCAUGAUGUGGGGGGAGCACCUCCCACACACCAGGCUGGAAUUCCACAGCUGAGACACUUCUGGGGACUUGUGGGUGUUUCUGGGGGGUUUCGCGUGGCUUCCGUAACAGAACACCAGAAACAGGGGGUCUUGAACGACAGAAAUUUACUGUCUCCCAGUUUGGGGACCCCGAAGUCCAAAAUCAAGGGGUUGGUGCAGCCGUGCUCCCUCCAAAGGCUCCAGGAGAGGAUCUUUCUAUGCUGGUGGCUCCAGGCUGUUCUUGGCUUGCAGACGCAUCCACGUCAAUCUCUGCCUCCAUUUCCACGUGGUCGUCCCCUCCUCUGAGUUCUCUCCCUUGAAGGACACCAGUCGUGUUGGGUCAGGGCCCAUCCUAAUGACUUCAUCCUAAUUUGAUGACACCUGCAAGGACCCUACUUCCAAAUCAGGUCACCUUCACAACUACCAGGGCGUUAGGACUUCAGCUUGUCUUUCGGGAAAACACAACUUAACAAGCAGUGGAGGAAAGAUAAUUAUUCUGUUGACCCACACAGAGAUCAUAUCAUUCUGGUGGUUCAUACACUUGGUCGCAUGAAGACAGGCCGCCUAUAUGUACCAGCUGGAGGUGAGACUGUCAAAGUGUCUUUCUUGUCACUCGGGGCUGUGCAGACACAGGUGCUCUGGUUGGGAGCGGCAUUGCCCAUUAAUUACUGGCUGCCGUGAUUUCUGUGGGGAGAUAAUUACUCGGUUUUGUUCACUCCGGCACAGGAAGAAUAUGCUCCCAUCCAAGCUGGGUACCACCACGGUCUCCUGGGUAACCCGGGAUGUCUCCUGGCUUCUGGUGUCUCAUUUCUGGUUUCCAAUUUUCUAAUGCUUUUGGUCGGCAAUUCCCUGUGGUCGAAUCCUUCCGGCUUCGUCUUUAUUAAAAGUCUUUAGAUGUUGAAUUUAAUCUCAUUUUGGUAUUCAUGGGGAACAUACUCAGAGUUUUGCUUGGUUUUGUUUUUCCAAAGAACUAAGAAAAUUAACUGCUAUGAACAACUGUGUUGCUCUUGUCCCUCAACGAACAUUCCUUGUAUACCUGUACCCAGAAGCCUCUGGGUUUUGUGUUUUUUUGAAACAAUAACCAAAGAACAAUAAAUUUCCACUUGGGGUUGCUGUCUUGGACAGAUGGCUCAGCACUUUCUCAUUUAGCAAAAGAACAAUGACAUGGGAUUUUUUUCCCCCUUUCCUACCAAAGCUUGCUGUCUUUAUAUUUAAUUAACUAUUCUGCUUUUAGACAGUAAAUCAAGCAACAAAUCCCCUGGUCAUUAAAGGUGAGUGCAAAGCCUUGUGGGUAAAAACCUGUGCCUCAAAUUUCACUGAGCUGCUAAAUCCAAACUUGGGCUUAAUGAAAAGAGCAAAGACCAGGAGGCAAGAGAUGUGAAUUGCCAUACUGACUCUACCAUUUAAUCACUGGGUGACCUUGGGGGAGCCCUGUCACUUCUCUGGGUCCUCCUUCCCCUGCAAAAUCGGGAUCAUGCUACCUGCUCUCUGCUUAAUUCACAGAGUUGUUGGGGGAAAAGACAGUGAGGAAAUUAAUGUAAAGCCACCUUGGAAAAGAUAAGGCGCUCUAACAAGAGUAUUUUAUUUUAGCCCUAUACAUCUCCCCUGAACUCAUUAGCCGCCGAGUCAAGGGCACAGAUGCCAAACCAGGCCAGAAAUUAUCCCGUGAUGACUCCUGAAGAUCACGAAACAUAUUUCCUUGUGUCUCCAGCAUGACCUUCAAAAGUUUGCCCCGUAACUAAGCACCAGAGGAUUCUACAGAGCCACGCCCUUGCUUGGGUAGGCUUAUGGGCCAUGACAAGAAAGUCUCGAUGUAGUUGUUAUAUUUUAAAAAGACAACCCCUCUUAGCCAGGAUGAUCAAACAUCCUUCCAAACGCCAAGGCUCCGGAUGGAAUAAAUGCAAGCGGGGGCCAGGUCGAAGACGCUGCCAUGACUGGGGACGGUGCACUAGAAAGCGUGAAAGCACUCAUCCGAAAUAUGCAUCCCUAGGCUACGGCUCUUGGUCUUGCGGGAUACGUUUGAGAAGCUGACCUACUCCCUCAUUGCACAGAGCCCCUGCAUUAUUAGACCUGCCCAGGGCCCUGGGGGGACCCAGAGGCAGAGAGAACACUUCCUUUCCCCCACAGGAAGGGGGGCAGAAACAUCAGCCGCUGGGGCCUGGCAGCCGGUCGCAGUGUUUACUGAGAAGGAGGAAGGGGACAAACGCAUCCUGAUGUCAUAGGGAUUUGGAGCUGGAAGGUGCCACGGGGAUUAGCCAUCGAGCUCACCGACCUGCCAACUGUUUGCUUUUAUGGGGGUGCCAUUUCUUUUGGUUGAUGCUCUUUUUCCCCUCAAAUGAAAUCUUAUGCGGAGGGUACGUUUGGAAAGAGAUCCAGGCUGGCCGCCCAGGUGGAAGUUGGGAGGGCUGUCUCUCUCCCCUGCACAGAUGAGGAAGAGAGGCUCAGGGACAAGAUGGGUCUUUCUCGGGUCGCGCAGUUAACAGCGGACUUGACACUAACCCCAGGUCCAUGAACUCUCUGUCCAGUGCUCUUCGAACCUACCGCAGUGGGCAUGUGGAAUACACAAGACACAACUCCCCUGUGUUCUCUGGCCCAUCACCAACCGGCUAUCUGCUGAGACACAGACUUUCUGUCUUCAUUUUCUUCCAUUCUAAGCUACUAAUCACCUACCAGCUGCCAUGCCAACAGAUGAAAAGUAUCUCAUAUUUUUAUGGUUUCUAUAGUAUGCAAGCACUAAUGCAGAAUACCCAACAGCACCACUUUGGUGACAAGAGACACAAAUUCACAAGGGCUUCAGCAAGGAAAGAUCAUCUGAUGGCUUGUGUACCUGUACCAUCUAGGGACUCAAUCUACAAUUUCAGGGCCCCGUGUCUCUUUUCCUCCACCCCUCUCCCCCCAUCUCCUCAUCUCCCCUCUCUAUCUUUUUUUCUCUCUCUCUCUCUCCAUCUGUCUUCUCCAUUCCCUUCAUUUCAUUUUGUGCCCAGACACUUACCUCAUGGUGGCAUAGUGGCUGCCAACACUCCAGGCUUCCAUCUCCACGGCUCCAGGAAGAGAGGUUCCAUCCUCCAAGUGAUUCCUACAGAAACCCUGGGCCCAACUUGAUUGGCACAAACCUGACCAUCUUCCCAUCCCUGGGCCAACUUCUGUGGCCAACGGGACUGGAAAUGCUGUCCCCCAUGUGUGGGACAUUCCCAUGCCAUCCCCUGGCACUGGGGUGAGGCUGGCUCCAGCCAGAGCACACGGAGGUCAAGUGGAGGGAGGUUGGCUCCCAGGGGGUGUGAUUUUACUGCUACGACGAAAAGCAAAGGCAAAGUCGAACAGGCAAACGGUGUUACAUAUUACAAUCUAUCUUCUGUGCUAAAUUCUUAAGAAAAUGUCAGGAUAUCAGAGAGAUCAUUUAUUUAAAGAAAACGGAAAUGCAAUGUUUAAUUUUCAAUGUAAUCCUUCAAAGAAUUAAAUAAGAAUCAAAAAGCCAAAUUCCAGAGAUGUUCAUAAUCACGCUAUUUAAAUAGUAAAACAACGGUCCUACCAUGGCUGGACAUUUAGUUAAGUAAAUCAUGGCACAUCCUGCUAAUGCAACAUUAUGCGGCUUUUAAAGUGAUAAUUAUGAGCCUAGCGAUGGGGAAAAUGCCUCUGAGAGAAAGUAAAGUGAAACCAUAAAGCGAAUCGUAUCUCCACUGCGUUACACAACUACCAAAAUACUCGAUGCUUGGGCGAACACUGGAAGGGGAUAUACAAAAAUGAGGAAACUUCGUUUGUUGGCCUGGCAAGCUGGUGGAUGAUCUGGCAUGUUCUCAGUAGCUCCGACAAGAAAAACAUCUCCGAUGAAUGAAUCCAGUAUGAAGGAACCCUUCUUCUGGCUGGCGAGCUUGCCAGGAGGGCUCUGGCAGGCUCCACCCAGACCCUGUUCUCUCCCCACCAGAGCUCCCCUCUCUAUCACCAGAAGGAGAAGCUGGGGCCCGGCACCAUGCGUUAGCAUGAAGGCAGGUAGGUCUGGAGGCCAGCCUCAAAAAAUGAGGUGUCCUUGUAAGUGGGUAGAACGUGACUGUGGGAUGUGUGCUGGGUUGUGGAGUGUCCCCCCAUUCGUACCCUUCCCAGAACCUCAGACUGUGACCAUGUUUGGAAAUACAGUCAUUGCAGAGGUAACCACGUAGGAUGAGGUCCUGCUGGGGUAGGGUGGGCCCUUAAUCCAAGAUGCCUGGUGUCCUCAUGACCAAGAGAUGCAGACGUGCAGGAAAGAAGCCCAUGGGAUGACAGAGGCAGAGACGGAAGGGACACAUCUGUAAGCCAAAGGAUGCUAGCUGCCACCAGAAGCUGGAAGUUGCAUGGAAGGAUUCAUUCUUGCAAAUUCCCGGGAAGCAGGACCCUGCCGACGCUUUGAUUUCUGACUUCCAGAACCGGGAGACAAUAAAUUUCUGUUGCUUUAAGCACCCCCCCCCCCGGCCCUCCCCCUGCCGCCAUCCGUGGUUUUCUUAGUGGCCCCAUGACACUAAAACAGGUGCAACAUCCAGGAAUUCAGACAGGUGGGGGCCCCUGUCAAAUCUGGCAGAAGCCACUGGAAGGGGACUCCCCGUUGGACCAUAGAAGGGAGCUGGCAAGGCAGAGCCUGGUUCUGGGGAGGCUGGGUCGCCAGGCAGGUGAGCUUGCAACCUUCAGCUCACUCACCACCUCCCUGGCUCUGGGGGACUGAGCACCUCCUCGGCGCUCCUGAUGGACCUGAUUCCAGGAAGGCGGGCAGGCGUGGUUGGGCCCCUGGGCUCUGCUCUCCAUGUCCAUUCACCGGUUGGCUAGUGAGCUUCCGCUGGGCCUGGCUUACAUCUUGUUAGACUGCAGGGUCCUGAGAUGUCACAGGGAGCUGACACACGGCUGCAGUGGGUGAAUGAGUGAAGGAAGUGGAUGGAUUGGCAGGUGCAGAGAGACGGGCUGGGGACAAGUACCCUCCCCAAAGUAAAGGGUCAGCUCAAUGAAUGAUAACCAUUUGCCAGGAUCCAGGCACUUGCCUACCUCUCAUUCAGUCUCCCCAAGGACACCAAGGGUGUCCAUCGUUCCACCUGAAAGACGAUACGGCAGCUGCCUCGCCUAAAGCCACACAGUGAGCCACAAACCCUGGUAAUAACCCCUGGAGUGCCAGCUCCAAGGCCCCCUUUGGUUCCUUUGUCCCUCGAGGCACCAUCCAGCUAGUCAGAUGGGUCUUCCCCACCCUUGCUGUCACUGAUGUGGAGUAGCUGAGCCCCUGGCUGUGGAACUAGACAGUCUGGGUUCAAACCUUGCCCUAGCCACUUCCAGAGUUCAGAGCCUGGCCCUGUUAGGAGACCUUUGCGAGCCCACUUUGCUCAUCCAUAGAAUGGGAUUCAAAUGCAUCUGCCUCACAGAUUAAGUAAUGUAGGGUAAGGAAAGUGCCUGUUGUACAGCACGUGAUUAACACAGUUCUUCCAACAUUAAAGCCACAUCAUUUUGGUCCUCAUCAGCAACCUCCUUGUGUUCUCGACGGCCCGGCUCAAGCGAGGAGGGAGAAGAAAGGAUAAAUCAGAGACUGUUCCCUUACCGCUUAGUAAUGUCCAAAAUCUGUUCCAAGCACCAGUCCUUAAAAGCCUGAGCUCUUGCCCCAGCCACGGUGCUGCUCUCUGAAAAAUAAUGUGAGCCACAUACAUCAUUUUAUGUCUUCUAACAACCACAUUUAAAACACCGUAAAAGAAAAACAGAUAAAAUUCAUUUGUCAUUUUUAUAUUAUUUUAUAUUACAUUAUAACAUUUAACCCAAUCUAUCACAAAAUAAGAUCAUCGCAACAGAUAAUCAAUAUAAACAUUAUUAAUGAAUCGUUUUAUAUCCUUCUUUUUUAAUACUAAGUCACAGUCCAUCUUAAUUAGACUAAGCACAUCCAAGCUACUCAACGGCCACAUGUGGCUUGUGGCCACCAUAUUGGAGAGCACAGUUCUGGAGGCAUAAUCAACCUAUUUUCCACCAAGAUGGAAGUAUUGGAAUUCUAUCGCCACCUGAGAACCAGAUGUGGGUCUCUUGUGUCUAAGAGGCAGAAGGGAUGGUGUCAUCCAUGUAAACCAGCCCUGGCUGUGGCACAGACAGUGUCCUCUCCACCAGAGGCUGAAGGCUGGGUGGGGCUCUUCUGGAGAAGAGGGGCAGCCUGACCACGAUGCCAUUGACCUAGGACUAAAGUAGUGCCAACUGCUCGGUCCUCCCUCACUGUAGCCAAAACCACUGGAAGCCUCCAUAAGCUUAGUUCUUACUCUGUAGUCAACAGUAACUCCCCGUCAAGCUCUGCUCUGGUGGAGAAGGCUUUGGGACAUGGGUCCCUCGGGAAACUCCACAAAAGCCAAGUCAAGAAUGCUUUGGAACUUCAUGGGCUUGGGUGGCAAGAGCCAUGUUCCAAAACCACAGUUCUUAUCUCUCUGGGGGCCAGCUUGCUACAUGCACAUCACAGAACCCCAGGUCCCUGGGGUGCACAGGUCCCCCAAGACCUUCCUGGCUGAAUCCCCAGGGACCAGACCAGGGAGCCUGAAUGGGCAAAACCAUAGCAGGCAAAUGCCACCUGAGACUUAGCUCUGCCUCCCUGGGCUUGCAGAGGGAGGCUCGGCACCAAAGAAAAGCUCUCCUUUUGGCAUCAGGCAGCCCUGGGAUUGAAUCUUGGGCAUCCCACUGACCAGUUGCGUGACCUUGGGUAGCUUGGUUGGUCUGCAAGCUCCUCAUUUUCUGUACGCGGGAUGCUGUAGAUGGCACCAACAUUUCAAGGCAGGUCCUGGGAGUGAAAUGAGCUGCAGGUGAAAGGGCCCAGCACAGCAUCCAGCCCAUCGCACUCAUUCACUACAGGAUGCCUGGUGCUUUGCAAGCAUCAGAGAGACCAUGGAGCAUGGCAUUAACACUCAAAUGCGACAUUCAGACUGAGUUCAAAUCCCCAUUCCACCAUUCAUAGCUAUGACGCUUGGGACAAACCACUCAACCUCUCAGAGUCUCCAUUUCUGCUUCAGUAGAGCGGGAAGAGGGUACCUAUCCACAAGGGGAUGAGCCAACAUACAUAAAUGUGCUCGUAAUGUUGGCUGGCUCCUGAUAAGAACCACGUGUCUGGUAAUAGCACGUCAUCACUGUGGUCAUGAAAUGGAAUGGUGGCUCACUGGGCUCUAGUGUUCAUUCUAGACAGCAAGGACUGAGACCUGGAGAAGCUGGGUGGUCGGGCCCAGGGUCACAGCUAGUUAGUGAGUGGAACCGUACAGAUUUGGGCCCCAGUCUCGUGAUGCCUGGACCACAUCUAUUCUCAGAGUCGCACAUGAAUUACAAAGCGUUGCUAUUCCAGUGACAUCACAGGCGCAAAAACAUCUGUAGGCACAGCAACCCCACUUCUUUGAACCUGGGGAUACAUGCAACACCCCCCUUUCCUUCCUCAGAAUUGUGUGUUAUUAUUGUGUUCUUACAUGGACUGAAUCCAGUGAAGUCCAAUCAAGGUAUAAAUUUACUUUUUUCCCACCAAUGUCUUUCAACUCUGCUGGACUAGAGCUCCCUGGCCCAACCCUGGAUAACAGUGUGGAUGCAUCCCCAGGUUUUUCUAGGCAUUUUAGGUACUGGAAUGACCACCCCUUAGUAUGUAUGAUGUUUUUAAUGCAGAUGUUUAAAGGUCCCCUAUAGAAAUGGGUGCCCCCAACCCUGAAUUGAUGCAGCCCCCUUGCUGGGAUGCAAAUAUUAGAUAACAGAGCUAAGCAUGGGUUUAAGCAUCUACUAGUCCAUUUGGCCAGAUACCUUUGUGCACUGUGCAAUCUGUACAACUGUACUUGGUGACCCUAAGAGCAGUCUCACUCCAGGCACUUAAAAGAUCAAUCCAAUUUCAAACUUUCCUUUGUCAUUCACUUUGACCUUUGUUCUUUCCCUAAUUUAUAGCCAGACCAUGAAUUCAGCUUCCCAUAAAGGAGUGGGAAGCAUGGUCUGUGAUUUCUCUCAGUAGCUACUUCUCAGGCUCCUCCAGGGCUGGGUGGGGAUUGGAGAUAGCCUUAAAGGAUAAAUCUUUAUUUGACUGGGGCCGCUGUGAUGUGGCCAUAAUUGGAGACCAUUUGUCACUGCAGUAUGACCAGGGCUGGCCUGACUAACUCAGUCUCCUGAUGACCUUUAUUGCUCCCUCUGAGCCCUUCACAGCCUUGGUCCACUGGGCUUGGCUGGCUCAGGUGGUCAGCUCUUUGGGAUUGGGUCUUUGCAAGACACUUCUCAAGACUCUAGGUAACUUGACCCCCUACCCCAAGUUCUGGAAAUGGGGGCUUCCCUCCUUCUCUUCGUGCUCACUGGCCGCCCAGCCAGCCUCCCCCUCCGUGUUUCACCAGCUGAGAGUGGGCUCGGCAAAGUCCAGGACUCAGGUGCGAUCCUCCCAAGCGUCGUCUUGGUACCAGAGGCUCUGGUGCCAGCAGCCCCAGGGGCCAGUAUGGCUGUAGGGCACAGGAAUGGGGCUCUUACAGACAGCCAUGCCCCCCACCCACACAGCAGUUCUCAUGAAGCCUCCCUCCCUUGGAUUCUACA